UGAUUUUUUGUGAUAAUUCCAAAUGAGCUUCUCAUUGAGCUCAUUUUUCGAGC
This 53-nucleotide small RNA is filed under the name Caenorhabditis elegans. RNAcentral's name for it is "Unclassified non-coding RNA T05A12.6". Lineage: Eukaryota; Metazoa; Nematoda; Chromadorea; Rhabditida; Rhabditidae. The record is from RNAcentral.